This 653-nucleotide ribosomal RNA is filed under the name Palaemonella rotumana. RNAcentral's name for it is "SSU rRNA". It matches the Rfam family "Eukaryotic small subunit ribosomal RNA", at positions 1176 to 1804 of the family's 1831-position model. Lineage: Eukaryota; Metazoa; Arthropoda; Malacostraca; Decapoda; Palaemonidae. RNAcentral also lists the same sequence under 14 other names. The record is from RNAcentral.
GUGGAGCCUGCGGCUUAAUUUGACUCAACACGGGAAACCUCACCAGGCCCGGACACCAGAAGGAUUGACAGAUUAAGAGCUCUUUCUCGAUUUGGUGGGUGGUGGUGCAUGGCCGUUCUUAGUUGGUGGAGUGAUUUGUCUGGUUAAUUCCGGUAACGAACGAGACUCUGGCCUACUAAAUAGUCGACGGGCGUUUUGGUGCAUGGGCCCCGUUCGACACAGUCUUCUUAGAGGGAUGAGCAGCGAGUAUAGCUGCAGGAGAUUGAGCAAUAACAGGUCUGUGAUGCCCUUAGAUGUCCUGGGCCGCACGCGCGCUACACUGAAUGGGUUAGCGGGUUGUCCUUCUCCGAGAGGAGCGGGAAAUCGCUUGAAAACCAUUCGUGAUAGGGAUUGGGGCUUGCAAUUGUUUCCCAUGAACGAGGAAUUCCCAGUAAGCGCAAGUCAUCAGCUUGCGUUGAUUAAGUCCCUGCCCUUUGUACACACCGCCCGUCGCUACUACCGAUUGAAUGAUUUAGUGAGGCCUUCGGACUGGCGGUCUUGGACUGGGGCGCCGGCGUUCUCCAGCAAUGGGGUGCCGGCGACCCGCCUAGACGGGCCGGAAAGAUGUCCAAACUUGAUCAUUUAGAGGAAGUAAAAGUCGUAACAAGGUUUCC